UCUCACACUUCUUGGCAGCACUGGCACUGUCUCUUAGCGACGAGAUUUUUGGGGAGCCGCGGCCCCCUCCAUACUGCCUGUGAGAUGCACGCACGCCACCCUCCCCCAGCAGUGGUACCAAGCCUCGGGCAGCAGCAGGCAGGGGUACGCUGGCCCGAGCUCAUGGCCGGUCAGUCCAUCAUCUAUCUAUAUCUGUCCACGUCUCAGGGAUCUGGGAGAGAGGGAGCAGCAGGACCUCAGAUACUGACUCCAUCCUCUUACUGGCCCAAUAGUGGGGCCCCAGCCUUCGGUGCUCACCUGGUUCUGACUGAGCGUGUUAAAGGCCCGGAUCUCCAGGACAUUGAAGGAGCUCUCCACCUGGGGGAAUGGGGACGCUCCUCAGCUCAUGGCUCUCUGCCCUCAGCAGUCUAACUAACUGCCCUUGAUACCUCCGCUUGGUCCCAAGCCCAGCGCCCUUACCAGUACUCGGUCUUCAAAUUUC
Molecule: long non-coding RNA, 481 nt
Organism: Hipposideros armiger (great roundleaf bat)
Lineage: Eukaryota; Metazoa; Chordata; Mammalia; Chiroptera; Hipposideridae
Exons: 3
Source: RefSeq, a predicted model, not a curated record